Molecule: long non-coding RNA, 313 nt
Organism: Hippocampus comes (tiger tail seahorse)
Lineage: Eukaryota; Metazoa; Chordata; Actinopteri; Syngnathiformes; Syngnathidae
Exons: 2
Source: RefSeq, a predicted model, not a curated record
UCCCCCUUAGGAGUUGAAUGUAUGUCUACACUGGGCAGCUUAUGCAGGAAAUGUGGACAUCGCAGAGAUGGUGUUGAACGCCGGUUGUUCCCUUGCCUCAGUAAAUGUGCAUGGCGACACGCCACUCCACAUUGCCGCAAGAGAAGGCUACUUGGAAUGUGUUACCUUGUUUCUCUCGAGAGGUGCAGAUAUCGACACGAUUAACAGGGAGGGAGACACACCGCUCACCCUUGCGCGCCCCGACACGCCGGUAUGGGUUGCGCUCCAGAUCAACAGGAAGAUACGAAGGGGAAUAACCAAUCGCAUGCUUAGG